UGGUGGAGUGAUUUGUCUGGUUAAUUCCGUUAACGAACGAGACCUCGACCUACUAAAUAGUUUACUGUACCCUUUGGGUGCGUGUAAACUUCUUAGAGGGACUAUCGGUGCGUAGCCGAUGGAAGCUCGAGGCAAUAACA
Molecule: ribosomal RNA, 140 nt
Filed under: uncultured eukaryote
Lineage: Eukaryota
Description: partial 18S ribosomal RNA
Rfam family: Eukaryotic small subunit ribosomal RNA
Source: RNAcentral